This 3178-nucleotide long non-coding RNA is filed under the name Nicotiana benthamiana. RNAcentral's name for it is "long non-coding RNA (NBEN_LNC039290)". The record is from RNAcentral. Lineage: Eukaryota; Viridiplantae; Streptophyta; Magnoliopsida; Solanales; Solanaceae.
UUUGAAAGAAUCUUAUAAAAAUUGUACUAAUUCCUAUAACAUGAUAUUGAAUCUAAAACGAUUGAUAUGUCUAUUUUUGAUAAUAUGAUAUUUAUUAUAUAUUUUUAUUAUGAUUCUUCAAAAGGCCAUCAGUAAAAAUAAUUAUAUUUUUUUAGAGAUUUGAAAUAAAAAGGAUCGUCAUAUAGUUUUUAGAAGAAACUGAUUCACGCGUAAAACAAUUAAGCACAUAUAUUUAUUAAUUUGAAGGGCAUGCAUAUCCUUUGGAGUAAGAUUACAAAUAUUGUAGUCAUUUUUGUCACAUAAUAUUAAAUCUAACAGGAUCAAAAUCGUCAUAUAUUUUUAUUAUAAUUAUUCACACAAUCAUCAAAUUAACCUAAUUAAAAAAGUGUAUCUUUAUUUUAGAGCUAUUGGAAUGAACAGCUAGGUCAUAGGUAAUAAAAUGAAUAAUUAAGUAAUGAUGUAAUGUCUAAAACUAAUUAAUACUGAAUAUGUAUUUUACAAACAAUAACUUAUUACGUAUAAAUAAACCUUUAGAGGGUCAUUUACUGAAUAGAUAAAAAAUAAAAUAUAAUAAUAAUAAUUUCCAACUUAUUUUUGAAUACCUAUUAUUUUAUUCUUAUUUCUACUAUUUUGAAUUUUAGCCAAGUUAAUUUUUAAUACUAUAUUAUGAUUGAUUCGACUAUAUUUUCUAAUUUCUUUCAUCAUUAGUGGUCUUUUUUAUUGAAAUAUAUCUUUAAGCCAAGGUUUUUGUCAACCUGAAGAUAGUUUUACUUGUAUGAUGAAUUUGAAAAAUAAUGAAAUUAAUUUUUUUCUAAUUAGCUAUUUCAAAUACUUAAUUAUUUAUUUUUAGAAAUAAAAGAUAAUUAUAAUUGAUUCGACUUUGUUUUCUAAUUUCUUACAUCAUCAGUGGUCUUUAUUAUUGAAAUAUAUCUAUUUAAAUCAAGACUUUUGUCAACCCGAAGAUAGUUUUAAUUAUAUAAUGAAAUUUGAAAAUAAUGAAAUUGACUUUUUUUUGCUAAUUAGCUAUUCCAAAUACUUAAUUAUUUAUUUUCAUCAAUAAAAGAUAAUUAUAUUUUAUUUAUUUAAAUUCUCAAUAUUAGAUCAUACCAAAUUUUAAAUAAUCGAUUAUAGUUAUAUUUUACAGAUGAAAAUUCUUUUGUCCGAUUGUAAGAAAAUCAAAUGAGUGGGAAAUAGUUUUGUAUAUUUUAAAGUAUUUUAGUAUAUAAAAGAGUUUCACCUAAAUCAAAACAUAAAAAAACAUUACUCCGUCAUUUUUCAAGAACACCGUACGUCCUCUUUCUUUUUUAAUUGAAUUAUUGGUAUAUGUCAAAGGUAUAAACUUCUAAAUACCAAGUGGUUACGUCUUAUUUGGUUAAUAGUUUUAGUUCUUUCCUUUUCUUGCCCUCUAUAUAAAAUUUAAGUGUAAAAAUUUAUAUAAAAUAAAAUGUUAAUAUUUUUGAAGUUUGAAAUAUCAAAAAUUUUCUACGUAAUCCAAAUAUGGAAGAAUGUAAUAUAUAAAAUUUAGUUGAUUUUGUAGUCCUAAAUAUUAGGAAAAUAAUUAAAUAAGUUUUCUUACAUAUAAGAAAAAUAAUUAAAUGAGUAUUUCAACAUGUUAGGAAAAUAACUAAAUUAAUAUUUUAUUCAAUGUAAAUUCUAUUUUUAAAAGUUAAAAAAGACAAAUGACAUUUCGCUAAUGUCCUCCGUAUUUUUAACAUAGUAUUAGUCGUAAAAAGCGCGUGUAUCCAAAUCAAUGAAUAUACUAUUUUAAAACAUUAUAUAAAUAGUUAUGUUCAUUUAUAAACCAAAACUUAAUGCAAAAACUUAUCGGAUAGAACUCUAUAAAAUAUUUAUGAAAAAUAUAAUUAAACAAUACAUGCACUUAACCCCGAUUUUGAUAAACCCAUAACUUAUUCCUUCACAUCUCACAAGAAUGCUCUAUUCGAUUUGAAGAACAAUAUAUAUUGUUUGUUGCUAAUUUACCAAAAUUUUCAUUUGGGAAAAAUGACCGAAUAUUAUUACAAUAUAUUCUUUUAUCACGAUUUUUCAAAUAUUUAUCAAAUAACACAAAUUGAAAAAUUGAACUUCUAGUUUAUUUUAUAGAUUCGGAUAUGAAAGGAUAAAUUGGAUAAGUAUAAAUUUAAAAUAUAAAAAUGACUUAUAUUGAGCUAAUAUUUUACAAUAAAUGACUUAAUAUUAAAAACUACAAACAGUCAUUUUUUGGCAACAAAAACCACAAAGAAUCAAUUGCUUUAAUGAAUAGAAAAUAAAAGAAAAAUAAUUAACGUCAACUCAUUAGAAUAUAAUUUGUCCUCAUUAUCUCAAUUUUUUAUGUUUGUAUUUAACCAAUAUGAUUCUUAAUAUUAUAUUAUAAUCAAGUUUAUUUUCUGAUGACUCAUUAGAAUAUAGUUCGUCUUCAUUAAAUUUUUUUUAUGUUUGUAUUUAACCAAUCUGAUUCUUAAUAUUAUAUUAUAAUCAAGUUUAUUUUCUGAUUCCUUUUAUCGCGGAUGUUCUUUUUAUAGAAAUAAAUUCAUGUAAUCAAAAUCUAUGUCAACUUGAAAAAUAACUAACUAUAUAGAAUUAGAAAAUAAUUGAAUGAGAUCCUUUCUCUAAUUAGUUAUUUUAAAGACUCAGUUAUUUAUUUGAAAUAAUAUAUUUUUUGUUUGUUUUUGAUAUAAAUAGAGAGAUUUUACACUUCUAUUUAAGGUGAAUGUCUUUAAUUAGAGAGAUUCUAGAGUCCUAUUAUUGGUAGCUAAAUCAUCCCACUCCCUNNNNNNNNNNNNNNNNNNNNNNNNNNNNNNNNNNNNNNNNNNNNNNNNNNNNNNNNNNNNNNNNNNNNNNNNNNNNNNNNNNNNNNNNNNNNNNNNNNNNNNNNNNNNNNNNNNNNNNNNNNNNNNNNNNNNNNNNNNNNNNNNNNNNNNNNNUUGUUGUUCUUGUCUUUAUAUUAUUUCAUAACACGUUAUCAGCACGAGUCUCUAACCAAUUGAAAUUUUCGAUUGUCUUAACUUUUGUUUGUGUAGGGUUCCACGUGAGGUUCUGCCGUAACCAAAUCCCGAAAUUUCUAUACGGAAAAAAAAGGAGGAAAAGAAACGAAAAACAAAGAAAAAAAAAGGGAAAUAGUGGAAACGAAAAACAAAGAAAAAAAAAGGAAACAGAAACGGAAGAGAGAAAAGGAAGAAAA